RNAcentral lists this long non-coding RNA (947 nucleotides) under Populus tremula. RNAcentral describes it as "long non-coding RNA (PTRE_LNC002461)". Lineage: Eukaryota; Viridiplantae; Streptophyta; Magnoliopsida; Malpighiales; Salicaceae. The record is from RNAcentral.
GAGGUACUGGAAACCAUGAUAAAAUCCAACACCCGUCCUUUGUGUGUUAUUUCGGAUUUCUUUCUAGGCUUUACACUUGCUUCAUGCCAAGCAUUAGGUGUUCCUAGGCUAGUCUUUCAUGGCAUGAGUGCUUUAUCAAUGGCCAUUAGCAAAUCAUCUUGGGUAAAUGCAUCACAGAUAAACUCACUGUCUAUGCUCGAUCCUGUUGACCUGCCUGAUGAAGCUUCCUUUCACUUUAACUAGAGCAGACUUACCUGCAGAAACACUGAACUCAUCAAACCAUGAUGACCCCAUGUCUGAAUUCAUAGGUGAGGUGGGUUGGGCUGAUGUAAACAGUUGGGGAAUCAUUAUUAAUAGCUUUGAAGAGCUAGAAAAGGAUCAUAUCCCCCUUUUUGAGUCAUUUUACAUGAAUGGGGCCAAGGCUUGGUGUUUAGGCCCUUUAUUUCUGUAUGACAAGAUCGAGGGUCUUGAAAGAUCCAUUAACCAAAAUCAAAAUCCCUCCAUGUCAACACAAUGGCUUGAUGAGCAAAGCACACCAGAUUCUGUGAUCUAUGUUUCAUUUGGUACACAAGCUGACGUAUCAGAUUCUCAGCUUGAUGAGGUAGCCUUUGGCUUGGAGGAGUCAGGAGUUCCAUUCGUAUGGGUGGUACGAUCAAAGGCAUGGUCUUUACCUGGUGGCAUGGAGGAGAAAAUUAAGGACAGAGGUUUGAUUGUAAGCGAAUGGGUUGAUCAACGCCAAAUACUAUCUCAUCGUGCCAUAGGUGGAUUCUUGAGUCACUGUGGCUGGAACUCGGUGCUAGAAAGUGUAGUCGCUGGUGUGCCAAUUCUGGCUUGGCCAAUGAUAGCUGAACAAUCUUUGAAUGCGAAGCUUAUAGUGGAUGGACUUGGAGCCGGGCUUAGCGUCAAGAGGGUACAAAAUCAAGGCUCUGAGAUCCUUGUUUCAAGGC